This 627-nucleotide ribosomal RNA is filed under the name Nebrioporus depressus. RNAcentral's name for it is "partial 16S ribosomal RNA". It matches the Rfam family "Bacterial large subunit ribosomal RNA", at positions 1825 to 2735 of the family's 2925-position model. The record is from RNAcentral. Lineage: Eukaryota; Metazoa; Arthropoda; Insecta; Coleoptera; Dytiscidae.
GUCCUUUAGAAUUUAUUAUUUAAGGUCUAACCUGCCCACUGAAAUAUUUUAAAUGGCCGCAGUAAAUUGACUGUGCAAAGGUAGCAUAAUCAUUAGUUUUUUAAUUAAAAGCUUGAAUGAAUGGUUUGACGAAAUAAAAUCUGUCUCUAAAUAAUAAAAAGAAUUUAAUUUUUAAGUUAAAAAGCUUAAAUUAAAAUAAAAGACGAGAAGACCCUAUAGAUCUUUAUAUUAAGUUUAAUAAUUUUAUUUAAGAUUUUUUUUAUGAUUAUUAUUUUUAUUAUUGUAUUGGGGUAAUAGAAAGAUUAAUAAAAUUCUUUUUAAAUUGUUACAAUAAUUAUUGUUUAUUUGAUCCUUAAUUUAAGAUAAUAAGAUUAAGAUACCUUAGGGAUAACAGCGUAAUUUUUUUAAAGAGUUCAUAUCGAUAAAAAAGUUUACGACCUCGAUGUUGGAUUAAAAAUUAUUCCAGGUGCAGAAGUUUGGAAAUUUUGGUCUGUUCGACCAUUAAAUUUUUACAUGAUCUGAGUUCAGACCGGCGUAAGCCAGGUCGGUUUCUAUCUUUAUUUAAUUAUUAUAUUUUAGUACGAAAGGACCAAAUAUAUAAUAUAUUAAUAUUUGUUUUUUGAAUAA